CCCAACUUUCUUUCUGAAUUUGGACUGACUUGAAGAAGUGGCAUCGCAUUUGAAGGACACCCAAUCAAUCUGUUACCCUCGCUGCAUGAAAUUGUAUUUGCUUCCCGCCUUCUAUCUCGCUGAGCGCAGCUGGGCUGUAAGUCAUUGGUGAUAACAUUCUUUAUUAUGCCGUCCUGUUUAUGAACUGUGCCUGGAAAGAGGUGAUAGAAAUAUGCAGCAAUAUGCAAAGGGACGGGGGGGGGGGGGGAAGGGGGGGAGCAAAUGCUAGUUGCCAGGGCAACAAAGGGGCUAUUUUGGGCAUCGGAUUUUGCGGAUGAUGAAAAAACCAUUUUCUUGCCAUGCUUGGGCUCUCCCCUCCCCCCGCUCCUGGAAGUGAUGAAUUCAGAGCCGAAUAUUUGGGAAAGGGGACGGCUUAAUUUCUUAAUUAAAAAUGAUGCUAUUUUCCCUUCUACCUCCUUUAAACAUGGAUGGAAAAACAAACCUAAGGGUGUUGAUAAGCAUUCUUGAGUGGAAGGCGAGCUUCCGUUCUGGUAGAGAGCGAUGUGUGAAUAAUUUACUAAUCUUCACUGAUCCCCGCCAUCUCCCCCCACCGCACACACCCACCUCUUUUUCCCUACACCGACUUAACUCUGAUAAACUCCCUGAGCAAAAUCCCCGAGCCCUGGACCUCAGCAAAAUCUCAAAAGCCGCAGGUGUUUACAAGCAACCUGAAUUCCAAUGAGUUUCUCGCCAGUUGGCCACCAAGGAGAUGGCUGGGGCUGAGUGGAGACCACAGCUCUGGGCACGGGCGUCCGCACGAACAAAGGAGGGGACCCUGCUCCUGUCCCUCCAGCCACGCAGAAGAUUUCCCCGGGGAGGGGGCUUACCCUCUGCGGGCGCCGAGCCCCGCCCACAAGCCUGGCGUGUCCGCACCCACGGGGCGGCGUGUGCGCGCCCUCUGGAUCCGUGCCCGGGGCGGGCCGUCCGGAGCGCUGCGACCGUGUUCACGAGAAGGAGGAGCUGGUGUUUCCACCUGGCCGCCUCCGGAUUGUUGCUUCCCUGGUUCUCCAGGAUCUGGAAGUGGCAGCUUGUGAUUUUAAUACCAAAGAGAGCCGAGGGCGUGGAGAGGCAGAGCCACCUCCACUAGCAGGGAGCUCCCAGAGACCUUCGGGUCGAUAAGCAACAGUGGACGCAGGGCUCUCCUUUCCAAGGAGUUAUGCCGGCUGAAUGUACUGCUUCGUAAAUGCCAAUGUCCCGUGACUCGGGGGGCGGGGGGGAGCGGGCUUCGCAGCUGUGACACUGUUGACAGGUGUGACGGGAGAGUCCUGCCCAUUGCGGGGCGGGAGCAGCAUCCCUGGUCCCCACCCACUUUGUGCCUGCAGCCCCACUCCUCGUGACAGCCGCAGAUGCCUUCAGACGUUGUCAGUUAUCUGCUGGGGCGCAAGCCCGCGCCUGGUUGAGGACAACGGAUGGAGAACACCGUUUCCCAAGGUGUAUUCCGGGGAACCGAGUCUCGUGGGACCCUGCUAACAGCUACUCUCCGAGAAACAACCAGGUUCCAGUAUGAGCUAAUUUGAGACCCUGUGGGCUAGAGGAAGUUCAUCCGUGCUGGCUCUGCUCUGACCUCGUUUUUCCCGGCCUCGUGUGCUUUCCUGCGUACCCGCUGCUCCCACUCAUGCACAGCCUCCCCCGUGAUCAACACCCCCACCAGAGCGUACAUUUGUUGCAACGGAUGAGGCUCCGUGGACGCGUCCUAUCACCCAAAGUCCACAGUUUACAUUAAGCUUCGCUCCUGGUAUUGGACACGUUAUGGGUUUGGACAAAUGCAAAAUGACGUGUUUUCACCAUUACGGUAUCAUCCAGAGCAGUUUCACGGCCCUGAAAAUCUUCAGGGCUCCCCCCACUCAUCCCUCCCUCCUUGCCCUGCCAACCCCGGGCAGCCACUGAUCCUUCUACUGUCCCCAUAGUCCUGCCUUUUCCAGAACGUCAGACAGAAUCACACAGUCUGUACUCUCUUCAGACCGGCUUCUUUCACGUAGUGAGAUGCAUUUAAGGUUCCUCCGUCUCUUUUCGUGGCUUGAUAGCUCAUUUCUUUUUGUGCUGAAUAACAUUCUGCUGUCUGGCUGGACCGCAGUCUGUUUAUCCCUUCACCUACUCAAGGGCAUCUUGGCUGCCCCCCAAGUUUUGGCAAGCAUGAAUCAAGUUGCUAUAAGCAAUCCACGUGCAGGUUUUUGUGCGGAGGUAAGUUUUCCCCUCCUUUGGGUGAAUACCCUGGAACACGAUUGCUGGGUCGUGUGGUAAGAGUCUGCUUAGUUUCAUAAGAAACUGCCAAACUGGCUUCCACAGUGGCUGCGCCAUUUUGCAUCCCCACCAGCGGUGAGUGAGUUCCUCCUACUCCAUAUCUUCACCGGCGUUGGGUGUUGGGCCAAUCUAAGAGGCAUGUAGUGGUGUCUCAUUGUUGCUUUAAUUUGUAUUUCCCUAAUGACAUGAUGUAAAGCAUACUUUCAUGCUUAUUUGCCAUCUUAUAUCUCCUUUGGAGAGCUGUCAAAGUCUUUGGCCCAUCUUUAAUUGGGCUGCUUGUUUUCUUAUUGUUGAAUUAUAGGAGUUCUUUAUAUAUAUCAGGUAAUAGUCCCUUAUCAGAUGUGUCCUUUGCAAAUACUGUCUCUCAGUCUGUGGCUCGUCUCCUCAUUCUUUUGAACCCACUUUUUGCAGAACAGUGGUUUUUAAUCUUAAUGAAGCUGGGCUUAUCAAGGAUUUCUUUCAU
Acinonyx jubatus (cheetah) is the source of this 2743-nucleotide long non-coding RNA. RefSeq lists it as uncharacterized. The transcript is spliced from 3 exons. The record is from RefSeq and is a predicted model, not a curated record. Lineage: Eukaryota; Metazoa; Chordata; Mammalia; Carnivora; Felidae.